AACGAACGCUGGCGGCAGGCCUAACACAUGCGAGUCGAGCGAGGACUUCGGUCCUAGCGGCGGACGGGUGAGUAACGCGUGGGAACGUGCCCUUUGCUUCGGAAUAGCCCUGGGAAACUGGGAGUAAUACCGGAUGAGCCCUUUGGGGGAAAGAUUUAUCGGCGAAGGAUCGGCCCGCGUUGGAUUAGGUAGUUGGUGGGGUAAUGGCCUACCAAGCCGACGAUCCAUAGCUGGUUUGAGAGGAUGAUCAGCCACACUGGGACUGAGACACGGCCCAGACUCCUACGGGAGGCAGCAGUGGGGAAUCUUAGACAAUGGGGGAAACCCUGAUCGAGCCAUGCCGCGUGAGCGAUGAAGGCCUUAGGGUUGUAAAGCUCUUUCAGCUGGGAAGAUAAUGACGGUACCAGCAGAAGAAGCCCCGGCUAACUCCGUG
This 433-nucleotide ribosomal RNA is filed under the name uncultured bacterium. RNAcentral describes it as "partial 16S ribosomal RNA". It matches the Rfam family "Bacterial small subunit ribosomal RNA", at positions 29 to 507 of the family's 1533-position model. The record is from RNAcentral.